This 487-nucleotide ribosomal RNA is filed under the name uncultured bacterium. Its description in RNAcentral is "bacterial SSU rRNA". It matches the Rfam family "Bacterial small subunit ribosomal RNA", at positions 8 to 485 of the family's 1533-position model. The record is from RNAcentral.
AGAGUUUGAUCCUGGCUCAGAUUGAACGCUGGCGGAAUGCUUUACACAUGCAAGUCGAGCGGCAGCGCGGGGCAACCUGGCGGCGAGCGGCGAACGGGUGAGUAAUGCAUCGGAACAUGUCCAUGUCGUGGGGGAUAGCCCGGCGAAAGCCGGAUUAAUACCGCAUAAGCCCGAGAGGGGAAAGCAGGGGACCGCAAGGCCUUGCGCGAUUGGGUUGGCCGAUGUCCGAUUAGCUUGUUGGUGAGGUAAAGGCUUACCAAGGCGAUGAUCGGUAGCUGGUCUGAGAGGAUGAUCAGCCACACUGGGACUGAGACACGGCCCAGACUCCUACGGGAGGCAGCAGUGGGGAAUUUUGGACAAUGGGGGCAACCCUGAUCCAGCCAUUCCGCGUGAGUGAAGAAAGGCCUUCGGGUUGUAAAGCUCUUUUGUCCGGAAGCGAAAACGGUGGCGGUGGAAAUAUCCGCCACUAACUGACGGAACCGGAAAG